UGGAUGGGGUUGCGAUCGCCCCACGAGGCCACGGCUGGAGAAUCGCGUCCUGAGAUCCCGAGCAACCGGAGGACGCGUUGUG
Ochrobactrum sp. P6BS-III is the source of this 82-nucleotide non-coding RNA. The record is from Rfam. Lineage: Bacteria; Pseudomonadati; Pseudomonadota; Alphaproteobacteria; Hyphomicrobiales; Brucellaceae.